RNAcentral lists this ribosomal RNA (253 nucleotides) under uncultured bacterium. RNAcentral's name for it is "partial 16S ribosomal RNA". It matches the Rfam family "Bacterial small subunit ribosomal RNA", at positions 524 to 776 of the family's 1533-position model. The record is from RNAcentral.
UACGUAGGGUGCAAGCGUUGUCCGGAAUUAUUGGGCGUAAAGAGCUCGUAGGAGGUUUGUCGCGUCUGCUGUGAAAAUCCAGGGCUUAACCCUGGACCUGCAGUGGGUACGGGCAGACUAGAGUGCGGUAGGGGAGAUCGGAAUUCCUGGUGUAGCGGUGAAAUGCGCAGAUAUCAGGAGGAACACCGGUGGCGAAGGCGGAUCUCUGGGCCGUAACUGACGCUGAGGAGCGAAAGCUAGGGGAGCAAACAGG